AGGCUGCACAGGGCUUUGGGGGAGUCCACCCUCUUGGGAUCCAAGUCAGGUUGCCAUGACAACCACUGCAGGCCUACUGGUUGCCAUGGAGACCCAGUGUGCAGCUGGAUGGGCCUUGGCAGCUGCCCUUUCCUUCGCCUGGAAUGCUGUGUUCUGAGCUCUACAUCUCCAGGUUUCCUCAGAUAAGCUACUCAGGCCACAUUCCAAGAGACAGUAGGGAUCAUGCCUGUCUAAUUCAGUGCUGUAAUGCCAGCACCUGGCACCGGGCCUACCACAUAGUAGGUGCUAAAUAUGUGUUCAGUAAAAGAAUGGACAAAUUCUUUCACUGAAGUGCCACAAGAAUCCUCGGUGAUGGUGAGCAUUAUUAUUCCCAUUUUACAGAUGAAGAAAUGAAGGCUCAGUCACCUGCCCAAGGUCAUACCACUAGGAAGCAGUACAGCCAGAUUUCUAAUGUAAGUCUCUGAUUCCAGAUGUGAGGGAAGGAGGUAGGGACCAUCUUUCCUAACCUUCAGUGCACCUGGCUCCUGUUCCUGUUUGUCUGUGGGUGUCUCUACUCCCAUCCCAGGCAUCCCCACAGAAACCUGUGCAGAAAAGCGAGAAGGACAGUUAAAACCUGUAAAGAAUGUGAAUUUGGGGCACCCGGGUGACUCAGUUGGUUAAGCGUCUGACUUCGGCUCAGGUCAUGAUCUCAUGGUUCGUGGGUUCGAGCCCCAGACAGACUUUGUGCUGACACCUCAGAGCCUGGAGUCUAUUUUGGAUUGUGUGUCUCCCUCUCUCUGCCCUUGCCCUGCUCUCUCUCAAAAAUAAACAAACAAACAAACAAACAGAACAAAAGAAUGUGAAUCUGACCUUUUUUUCUAGGAUCUCUCAAUGGCUCCUCUUUCCCUCCCUCCUUAAGUUGACCAGCAGGGCCUUCUAAUUCUGCACCACCACCAUCCCCCUUCCUUUUCAA
Long non-coding RNA from Neofelis nebulosa (Clouded leopard), 952 nucleotides. RefSeq lists it as uncharacterized. Lineage: Eukaryota; Metazoa; Chordata; Mammalia; Carnivora; Felidae. The record is from RefSeq and is a predicted model, not a curated record. The transcript has 4 exons.